Molecule: long non-coding RNA, 328 nt
Organism: Schistocerca serialis cubense
Lineage: Eukaryota; Metazoa; Arthropoda; Insecta; Orthoptera; Acrididae
Exons: 2
Source: RefSeq, a predicted model, not a curated record
AGAUGAGGGUGACAAUGAAGAAACAGCUGACGAGCGCAGAACAGAUGAAAUAGCUGACACACUGUUUGGAAAUGGAAGAAGGUGAAUACUCUCUUCAACGGCCUUGAUCAUGGUUUACCAGCUGUGAAGAACCAAGUAUGUUACCGGGCACUGUUUCUGCGUAGCUUCCGUGCUGGAGGACAGUGAAGGAAGAGUGUUAAUCGUAGACAGCAAACAAUCUACUGCAACUUCGCAAUUCUCGUCUCAUUUGAAAUUAUUGUUUGCCUUCUAUACUGACAAACCUGUUUACAAAGCCUCCGGCUUGAGUAAAAUAAAUUCUGAUACACUA